This 380-nucleotide ribosomal RNA is filed under the name uncultured Streptococcus sp. RNAcentral describes it as "bacterial SSU rRNA". It matches the Rfam family "Bacterial small subunit ribosomal RNA", at positions 1000 to 1374 of the family's 1533-position model. Lineage: Bacteria; Bacillati; Bacillota; Bacilli; Lactobacillales; Streptococcaceae. The record is from RNAcentral.
CUAGAGAUAGAAAGUUACUUCGGUACAUCGGUGACAGGUGGUGCAUGGUUGUCGUCAGCUCGUGUCGUGAGAUGUUGGGUUAAGUCCCGCAACGAGCGCAACCCCUAUUGUUAGUUGCCAUCAUUCAGUUGGGCACUCUAGCGAGACUGCCGGUAAUAAACCGGAGGAAGGUGGGGAUGACGUCAAAUCAUCAUGCCCCUUAUGACCUGGGCUACACACGUGCUACAAUGGUUGGUACAACGAGUUGCGAGUCGGUGACGGCGAGCUAAUCUCUUAAAGCCAAUCUCAGUUCGGAUUGUAGGCUGCAACUCGCCUACAUGAAGUCGGAAUCGCUAGUAAUCGCGGAUCAGCACGCCCGCGGUCGAAUACGUUCCGGCCUU